Molecule: ribosomal RNA, 253 nt
Filed under: uncultured bacterium
Lineage: Bacteria
Description: partial 16S ribosomal RNA
Rfam family: Bacterial small subunit ribosomal RNA
Source: RNAcentral
UACAGAGGUCUCAAGCGUUGUUCGGAUUCCUUGGGCGUAAAGGGUGCGUAGGCGGGUCUUUAAGUCAGGGGGGAAAUCCUGGAGCUCAACUCCAGAACUGCCUUUGAUACUGAGGAUCUUGAGUACGGGAGAGGUGAGUGGAACUGCGAGUGUAGAGGUGAAAUUCGUAGAUAUUCGCAAGAACACCAGUGGCGAAGGCGGCUCACUGGCCCGUAACUGACGCUGAGGCACGAAAGCGUGGGGAGCAAACAGG